This is a non-coding RNA of Cyanistes caeruleus (blue tit), 313 nucleotides long. The record is from RefSeq and is a predicted model, not a curated record. NCBI's taxonomy places the organism in Eukaryota, Metazoa, Chordata, Aves, Passeriformes, Paridae.
GUACAGAGAAGCUCUACUCAUGCUGGUGGAUUUGAACUGAUUUAAAAUGAGGAUGCUGCCAAAAUACAAGAGCGAGCAGGGAGGACUGGCCUUGUCUUGCCUAUACCACCAAGAGAGCUUCAAGAACGGCAGAGAUUGUGUAAAAUACGAAGUGGAAAAGGGUACCAAGUGAAAAAGACAGUCCUAAGUCCCAAAAUUGCACGCAUUGAGUGGCUUAAGAAGCACCUGGUAAUUGAUGACUACAGACCAACUUGCAGAAAUGCACAUCAUUAUCAGAUAUAGACACUUUGGUAAAUAAAAUUCCUAAAUUCAA